This 492-nucleotide ribosomal RNA is filed under the name uncultured bacterium. Its description in RNAcentral is "bacterial SSU rRNA". It matches the Rfam family "Bacterial small subunit ribosomal RNA", at positions 30 to 515 of the family's 1533-position model. The record is from RNAcentral.
AUUAAACGCUGGCGGCAUGCCUUACACAUGCAAGUCGAACGGCAGCACGGGGCAACCUGGUGGCGAGUGGCGAACGGGUGAGUAAAGCAUCGGAACGUGCCCUGGAGUGGGGGAUAACGUAGCGAAAGUUACGCUAAUACCGCAUAUUCUGUGAGCAGGAAAGCAGGGGAUCGCAAGACCUUGCGCUGAUUGAGCGGCCGAUAUCAGAUUAGCUAGUUGGUGAGGUAAAGGCUCACCAAGGCGACGAUCUGUAGCGGGUCUGAGAGGAUGAUCCGCCACACUGGAACUGAGACACGGUCCAGACUCCUACGGGAGGCAGCAGUGGGGAAUUUUGGACAAUGGGGGCAACCCUGAUCCAGCCAUGCCGCGUGAGUGAAGAAGGCCUUCGGGUUGUAAAGCUCUUUCGGCCGGGAAAAAUACGACAUCAGUUAAUACCUAGGUGUGGAUGAUGGUACCGGAAUAAGAAGCACCGGCUAACUACGUGCCAGCACG